ACUCCUACGGGAGGCAGCAGUGGGGAAUAUUGCACAAUGGGGGAAACCCGUAGCAUGCAGCCAUGCCGCGUGUGUGAAGAAGGCCUUCGGGUUGUAAAGCACUUUCAGCGAGGAGGAAAGGGUGUAAGUUAAUACCUUACAUCUGUGACGUUACUCGCAGAAGAAGCACCGGCUAACUCCGUGCCAGCAGCCGCGGUAAUACGGAGGGUGCGAGCGUUAAUCGGAAUUACUGGGCGUAAAGCGUGCGCAGGCGGUUUGUUAAGCGAGAUGUGAAAGCCCG
RNAcentral lists this ribosomal RNA (280 nucleotides) under uncultured bacterium. RNAcentral's name for it is "partial 16S ribosomal RNA". It matches the Rfam family "Bacterial small subunit ribosomal RNA", at positions 335 to 604 of the family's 1533-position model. The record is from RNAcentral.